Molecule: ribosomal RNA, 483 nt
Filed under: uncultured bacterium
Lineage: Bacteria
Description: partial 16S ribosomal RNA
Rfam family: Bacterial small subunit ribosomal RNA
Source: RNAcentral
GACGAACGCUGGCGGCGUGCUUAACACAUGCAAGUCGAACGAUGAAGCCGGAGCUUGCUCCGGUGGAUUAGUGGCGAACGGGUAAGUAACACGUGAGCAAUCUGCCCUUGACUCUGGGAUAACUGCGGGAAACUGUAGCUAAUACCGGAUACGACACCUUGGGGCAUCCCAGGGUGUGGAAAGAAUUUCGGUCAAGGAUGAGCUCGCGGCCUAUCAGCUAGUUGGUGAGGUAAUGGCUCACCAAGGCGACGACGGGUAGCCGGCCUGAGAGGGUGAACGGCCACACUGGAACUGAGACACGGUCCAGACUCCUACGGGAGGCAGCAGUGGGGAAUAUUGAACAAUGGGCGAAAGCCUGAUGCAGCAACGCCGCGUGAGGGAUGAAGGCCUUCGGGUUGUAAACCUCUUUUAGCAGGGAAGAAGCGAAAGUGACGGUACCUGCAGAAAAAGCACCGGCUAACUACGUGCCAGCAGCCGCGGUAA